GAUGAACGCUGGCGGCGUGCCUAAUACAUGCAAGUCGAGCGAACGGACGAGAAGCUUGCUUCUCUGAUGUUAGCGGCGGACGGGUGAGUAACACGUGGAUAACCUACCUAUAAGACUGGGAUAACUUCGGGAAACCGUAGCUAAUACCGGAUAAUAUUUUGAACCGCAUGGUUCAAAAGUGAAAGACGGUCUUGCUGUCACUUAUAGAUGGAUCCGCGCUUCAUUAGCUAGUUGGUAAGGUAACGGCUUACCAAGGCAACGAUGCAUAGCCGACCUGAGAGGAUGAUCGGCCACACUGGAACUGAGACACGGUCCAGACUCCUACGGGAGGCAGCAGUAGGGAAUCUUCCGCAAUGGGCGAAAGCCUGACGGAGCAACGCCGCGUGAGUGAUGAAGGUCUUCGGAUCGUAAAACUCUGUUAUUAGGGAAGAACAUAUGUGUAAGUAACUGUGCACAUCUUGACGGUACCUAAUCAGAAAGCCACGGCUAACUACGUG
Molecule: ribosomal RNA, 497 nt
Filed under: uncultured bacterium
Lineage: Bacteria
Description: partial 16S ribosomal RNA
Rfam family: Bacterial small subunit ribosomal RNA
Source: RNAcentral